Molecule: long non-coding RNA, 1557 nt
Filed under: Brassica napus (rape)
Lineage: Eukaryota; Viridiplantae; Streptophyta; Magnoliopsida; Brassicales; Brassicaceae
Description: long non-coding RNA (BNAP_LNC015821)
Source: RNAcentral
UAGAGAUAAAGGUUUAGGGUUUAGAGUUGAUGUUUUAGGGUUUAGAGUUGAUGUUUUAGGGUUUAGAGUUGAUGUUUUAGGGUUUAGGGUUUAGAGUUUACUUUUUAGGGUUUAGGGUUUAGUGUUGAUAGUGUUGGGUUUAGUGUUGAUGGUUUAGAGUUUAGAGUUGAAGUUUAGGGUUUAGGGUUUAGAGUUGAUGUUUUAGGGUUUAGAGUUGAAGGUUUAGGGUUUAGGGUUUAGGGUUUAGAGUUGAUGUUUUGGGGUUUAGGGUUUAGAGUUGAUGUUUCUGGGUUUAGGGUUUAGAGUUGAUGUUUCAGGGUUUAGGGUUCGUAUUUUAAAAAAAAAGGUUUCAGGAUUGAUGGUUUAGGGUUUAGGGUUGAGUUUUAGGGUUUAGAGUUUGAAUUUCGAAAUAGUAUAAUUUAUUUAAAUAUUUUUGUAAUAUGUAUUUUUUAUAUAUAUAAAGAAUAAGGGCAGAAGAGUCUUUUGCCACUUAACGAAGAAUGUAUUUUUGAAAAUGUAUUUUUUGUGGAGGUAAAAAUGAAAAUUGGUAGCAUGAAAGUGGUAAAUAUGUCAGUUUCCCAUUUAUUGGAAAAUUGCCAAAAAUACAUUUUUCAAAGUACCACCUUUCAUGUUUACACUAACCACUUUUACAUUCAUCUUUAAUGAAGGGUAAAAGACAUUUAUACUCUUUUGAUUAAGUUUGACAAAAAAAAACAUAUGGUUAACUAAUCUAAACUUAAAACAUCAACUCUAAACCCUAAACCAUGAAACAUCAACUCUAAACCCUAAACCCCGAAACAUCAACUCUAAACCCUAAACCCUAAACCAUCAAAUCUAAACCCUAAAACAUCAACUCUAAACCCUAAACGUAAACAUUGAACCCUGAACCCUAUAUUUUUCUGAAAUUCCAACCCUAAACCUUCAAAUUUAAACCCUAAAACAUCAACUCUAAACCCUAAACCCUAAACUUUCAACUCUAAACCCUAACACAUCAACUCUAAACCCUAAACCCUAAACCAUCAAAUCUAAACCCUAAAACAUCAACUCUAAGGUUUUAGGGUUUAGGGUUUAUUAUUUAGGGUUUAGGGUUUAGAGAUAAAGGUUUAGGGUUUAGAGUUGAUGUUUUAGGGUUUAAAUUUGAAGGUUUAGGGUUGGAAUUUCAGAAAAAUAUAGGGUUCAGGGUUCAAUGUUUACGUUUAGGGUUUAGAGUUGAUGUUUUAGGGUUUAGGGUUUAGUGUUGAUAGUUUAGGGUUUAGAGGUGAAGUUUAGGGUUUAGGGUUUAGAGUUGAUGUUUUAGGGUUUAGAGUUGAAGGUUUAGGGUUUAGGGUUUAGGGUUUAGAGUUGAUGUUUUGGGGUUUAGGGUUUAGAGUUGAUGUUUCUGGGUUUAGGGUUUAGAGUUGAUGUUUCAGGGUUUAGGGUUCGUAUUUUAAAAAAAAAGGUUUCAGGAUUGAUGGUUUAGGGUUUAGGGUUGAGUUUUAGGGUUUAGAGUUUGAAUUUCGAAAUAGUAUAAUUUAUUUAAAUAUUUUUGUAAUAUGUAUUUUUUAUAUAUAUAAAGAA